CUACGGGGGGCUCCAGUGAGGAAUAUUGGUCAAUGGGCGCAAGCCUGAACCAGCCAUGCCGCGUGAAGGAUGACAGCGCUAUGCGUUGUAAACUUCUUUUGUACAGGAAGAAACACUUCUACGUGUAGAAGCUUGACGGUACUGUACGAAUAAGCAUCGGCUAACUCCGUGCCAGCAGCCGCGGUAAUACGGAGGAUGCAAGCGUUAUCCGGAUUUAUUGGGUUUAAAGGGUACGUAGGCGGAAAAUUAAGUCAGUAGUGAAAUCCCGCAGCUUAACUGUGGAACUGUUAUUGAUACUGGUUUUCUUGAAUUUAGUUGAGGUAGGCGGAAUGUGUAAUGUAGCGGUGAAAUGCUUAGAUAUUACACAGAACACCGAUUGCGAAGGCAGCUUACUAAGCUAUGAUUGACGCUGAGGUACGAAAGCGUGGGGAGCGAACAGGAUUAGAUACCCCGGUAGUC
Molecule: ribosomal RNA, 459 nt
Filed under: uncultured bacterium
Lineage: Bacteria
Description: partial 16S ribosomal RNA
Rfam family: Bacterial small subunit ribosomal RNA
Source: RNAcentral